RNAcentral lists this transfer RNA (72 nucleotides) under Camelus bactrianus (Bactrian camel). It matches the Rfam family "tRNA". Rfam says of the family: Transfer RNA (tRNA) molecules are approximately 80 nucleotides in length. Their secondary structure includes four short double-helical elements and three loops (D, anti-codon, and T loops). Lineage: Eukaryota; Metazoa; Chordata; Mammalia; Artiodactyla; Camelidae. The record is from Rfam by way of RNAcentral. RNAcentral also lists the same sequence under 1 other name.
GAGGGUAUAAUUCAGUGGUAGAGUGCAUGCCUAGCAUGCACGAGGUCCUGAGUUCAAUCCCCAAUACCUUCA